AACGAACGCUGGCGGCAGGCCUAACACAUGCAAGUCGAACGAGAUCUUCGGAUCUAGUGGCGGACGGUGAGUAACGCGUGGGAACGUGCCCUUCUCUACGGAAUAGUCCUGGGAAACUGGGUUUAAUACCGUAUACGCCCUUCGGGGGAAAGAAUUUCGGGGAGGAUCGGCCCGCGUUGGAUUAGGUAGUUGGUGGGGGUAAUGGGCCUACCAAGCCGACGAUCCAUAGCUGGUUUGAGAGGAUGAUCAGCCACACUGGGACUGAGACACGGCCCCAGACCUCCCUACGGGAGGCAGCAGUGGGGAAUCUUAGACAAUGGGGGCAACCCUGAUCUAGCCAUGCCGCGUGAGUGACGAAGGCCCUAGGGUCGUAAAGCUCUUUCGCCAGGGAUGAUAAUG
This 399-nucleotide ribosomal RNA is filed under the name uncultured bacterium. RNAcentral's name for it is "bacterial SSU rRNA". It matches the Rfam family "Bacterial small subunit ribosomal RNA", at positions 29 to 453 of the family's 1533-position model. The record is from RNAcentral.